This is a non-coding RNA of Bos taurus (domestic cattle), 72 nucleotides long. NCBI's taxonomy places the organism in Eukaryota, Metazoa, Chordata, Mammalia, Artiodactyla, Bovidae. The record is from Rfam.
UCCCUGGUGGCUCAGAUGGUAAAGCGUCUGCCUGCAAUGCAGGAGACCCGGGUUCGAUCCCCGAGUCAGGAA